UGAAGAAGCUGUUGAUCCUGAUUUCUCAAACAUGCCUGGCAGUAGGUCAAGCAGGACGACUUUAUCAGAAAUGGCCGUCCCAGUUGAAGCUCCACUGAGUGUUGUGGAGGAUAUCGUGGAUGAUCCCAAUGAGUCUGGCCUCUUGCUUGAUGCCAAUUUUGAUGUCGUAGGUGACACAAAUAAUGUUGAUGACACACUUACGAUAGGAGCUGAAUUGCCUGGUCCUAUUUCAUUUGCUGCUGCUAAUUAUGAUGAGAAGAAUGCUAAAGCUGCUCAGCAGUGGCAGAAUGAUAUAACUGGCG
This 302-nucleotide unclassified non-coding RNA is filed under the name Hevea brasiliensis (rubber tree). The record is from RNAcentral. Lineage: Eukaryota; Viridiplantae; Streptophyta; Magnoliopsida; Malpighiales; Euphorbiaceae.